GUAGGUGGCAAGCGUUGUCCGGAAUUAUUGGGCGUAAAGCGCGCGCAGGCGGUCCUUUAAGUCUGAUGUGAAAGCCCACGGCUCAACCGUGGAGGGUCAUUGGAAACUGGGGGACUUGAGUGCAGAAGAGAAGAGUGGAAUUCCACGUGUAGCGGUGAAAUGCGUAGAGAUGUGGAGGAACACCAGUGGCGAAGGCGACUCUUUGGUCUGUAACUGACGCUGAGGCGCGAAAGCGUGGGGAGCAAACAGGAUUAGAUACCCUGGUAGUCCACGCCGUAAACGAUGAGUGCUAAGUGUUAGAGGGUUUCCGCCCUUUAGUGCUGCAGCAAACGCAUUAAGCACUCCCGCCCUGGGAGUACGGCCGCAAGGCUG
This 372-nucleotide ribosomal RNA is filed under the name uncultured organism. RNAcentral's name for it is "partial 16S ribosomal RNA". It matches the Rfam family "Bacterial small subunit ribosomal RNA", at positions 527 to 896 of the family's 1533-position model. The record is from RNAcentral.